RNAcentral lists this ribosomal RNA (402 nucleotides) under bacterium. RNAcentral's name for it is "partial 16S ribosomal RNA". It matches the Rfam family "Bacterial small subunit ribosomal RNA", at positions 355 to 776 of the family's 1533-position model. The record is from RNAcentral. RNAcentral also lists the same sequence under 4 other names.
UGGGGAAUUUUGCACAAUGGGGGAAACCCUGAUGCAGCGACGCCGCGUGAUUUAGAAGGCCUUCGGGUUGUAAAAAUCUUUUCUAUGGGAAGAAAAUGACAGUACCAUAGGAAUAAGGACCGGCUAAUUACGUGCCAGCAGCCGCGGUAAUACGUAAGGUCCGAGCGUUGUCCGGAAUCAUUGGGCGUAAAGGGUACGUAGGCGGGUAAGCAAGUUAGAAGUGAAAUCCUAUAGCUCAACUAUAGUAAGCUUUUAAAACUGCUCAUCUUGAGGUAUGGAAGGGAAAGUGGAAUUCCUAGUGUAGCGGUGAAAUGCGCAGAUAUUAGGAGGAAUACCGGUGGCGAAGGCGACUUUCUGGCCAUAACCUGACGCUGAGGUACGAAAGCGUGGGUAGCAAACAGG